This is a non-coding RNA of Paramuricea clavata, 692 nucleotides long. The record is from the annotation of a GenBank genome assembly. Lineage: Eukaryota; Metazoa; Cnidaria; Anthozoa; Malacalcyonacea; Plexauridae.
UACAAAUUCACUUUACUCUGCUCGGCUAAGCCGCACGACAAACGUUUGUGCUAAUUUCUCAUCCAAUAUUUAACUAAAUUGAACCAAAAUUUAAUCAAUUUGUCCUUGGGCAAAGUCCAUUAGUCCGACUGAUUUUCGUGUUAAUACGUUUGAUAUUUUGUAAGUUAUCGUGCUGGCAAACAAACGCACACACACACACAUACAAACAUAGAUGGAAACCUAACCUCCUGUCGGAGAUAACUCGGCAGUGUGAGUUACCAGAAUAUUUAAAUUGCCUUGCUUUCAUUUCUCAUUUUCAAACCAAGUACAUGAAGGACGUGAUUGUGCAUCAGUAUUCAGUAUAAAUCUUGCCUCAGGUUUUAGCCUAAUUUGGCUCCUAAUUUGGUUACACGUAACCAUUUUUAUAAAAAAUGCCGCUACAAAUACGUGGGAUUUAAGUGUACCGGUAGUCUUUCAUACAAUAAAAUGUUGCUGGUUUGCGUCUAAACUACAAUUCUUUGACGUGUCGACCGAAUUAAAGGAAGGUCUAAGAAUAAGGAAGACGAAAUUAUCGAUUUAUUGGCCACCGCUAUAAAUUUCCUGCAUGACGAAGAGAUGUCUCUUGAAACAUCGAAAUAUUUCCAAAUCAUGCACAUGCAGCAAUUAUAUUCCUAUUAAUAUCAUUCGUUUGACGUAUACACGCGAUAUUUAUG